GGAAUUCAGUAGUGAUUCAGGCCUAACACAUGCAAGUCGAGCGGUAGAGAGAAGCUUGCUUCUCUUGAAAAAAGCGGACGGGUGAGUAAUGCCUAGGAAUCUGCCUGGUAGUGGGGGAUAACGUUCGGAAACGGACGCUAAUACCGCAUACGUCCUACGGGAGAAAGCAGGGGACCUUCGGGCCUUGCGCUAUCAGAUGAGCCUAGGUCGGAUUAGCUAGUUGGUGAGGUAAUGGCUCACCAAGGCGACGAUCCGUAACUGGUCUGAGAGGAUGAUCAGUCACACUGGAAGGGAGACACGGUCCAGACUCCUACGGGAGGCAGCAGUGGGGAAUAUUGGACAAUGGGCGAAA
This 352-nucleotide ribosomal RNA is filed under the name uncultured bacterium. Its description in RNAcentral is "bacterial SSU rRNA". It matches the Rfam family "Bacterial small subunit ribosomal RNA", at positions 43 to 380 of the family's 1533-position model. The record is from RNAcentral.